GUCACCAAAUAUGUCAAUGCGGAGCUAUUCAGAGCACUCAUUCUUAUAACAUUUGGGAGUUCGCACAGCGGUGUGGUACAGAGCUCAAUUUUGCCUUUGUAUGCCUCCACAAUUGUGUCACACCUUCCAUAUGGACAAUGGCGACCGUCAUUCAGAGCAGCAGAUCCCCCUCCUCCUCAGAGUCGUUGAGAUCCUCCCUCUCCCUCUUGAUGCUCUCCUCCUUCUUGAUGCUGCAGUGCUGCUGUGAGGACACCUGUCCAGGCUCAGGCUUUGCACCCUUCUCAUCUGCUCGCAGAAAGAGCGCGAUCCGGGUCAAACAAGCCAGAGAAAAAGUAGUCAAAAGUUGAAAAAUGAAAUCACUUAUCUGUACAUACAAGUCAUAGGAAUGCUGAGAUUGCCGGUAUACAUACAGAGUACAAACCACCUCAUUCAUUUUUUUUUUUACGUUAUAAAAGUUGACUGUCCACGUAACCUGGUUCAAACAUCUACCAUGUAACCCUGAAGGAGGCAUUGUAUGCCAAUACAUUAGUUGCUAUACGCAUUAAAUGUUUGGGAGCAUAGUGUGCGACUUUCUUUUUAUAAAAGCAUUGAUCACAUGGUUAAGGUGACACUCCUACACCCUACCUGACUUCUUGCUGUGGUCCUUCUCCAUGCGGUCUAGGCUCUCCAGCAGGUAGUCUACUUUGUGUUUAAUCAUUGUCAGCUCCUUCUUGAUGGUCUGCAGGUCAUCUGUUUUCACUGAGAGAAAGAGAGUGAGAAAAAAAAGAGAUGGAUAAAGGUUUAAGCAAUUGACCCCAAUACCUUAUGAAGCUCUGUAUGCGGUGCUGCGAGAGUAACCUUCAAGCCCUGCACAGUGAGCAUCAGGGCAUAAAAAAAAUAUUUUUGGUCCACCAGCCACAACUUCUUUUCUCUCUAAAAUACAAAAAAAAAAACGUGUAUUAUUCCUAAAACAAUAAAUGUAUUACUAGUAAGAAGUAA
Molecule: long non-coding RNA, 978 nt
Organism: Oncorhynchus nerka (sockeye salmon)
Lineage: Eukaryota; Metazoa; Chordata; Actinopteri; Salmoniformes; Salmonidae
Exons: 2
Source: RefSeq, a predicted model, not a curated record